Molecule: ribosomal RNA, 500 nt
Filed under: uncultured bacterium
Lineage: Bacteria
Description: partial 16S ribosomal RNA
Rfam family: Bacterial small subunit ribosomal RNA
Source: RNAcentral
AUUGAACGCUGGCGGAAUGCUUUACACAUGCAAGUCGAACGGCAGCACGGACUUCGGUCUGGUGGCGAGUGGCGAACGGGUGAGUAAUACAUCGGAACGUGCCCAGUCGUGGGGGAUAACGUAGCGAAAGCUACGCUAAUACCGCAUACGAUCUAAGGAUGAAAGCGGGGGAUCGCAAGACCUCGCGCGAUUGGAGCGGCCGAUGGCAGAUUAGGUAGUUGGUAGGGUAAAGGCCUACCAAGCCGACGAUCUGUAGCUGGUCUGAGAGGAUGAUCAGCCACACUGGGAGUGAGACACGGACCAGAAUCCGACGGGAGGCAGCAGUGGGGAAUUUUGGACGAUGGGCGCAAGCCUGACUCAGCCAUUCCGCGUGCAGGAUGAAGGCCUUCGGGUUGUAAACUGCUUUUGUACAGAACGAAAAGGCUCUGGUUAAUACCCGGGGCUCAUGACGGUACUGUAAGAAUAAGCACCGGCUAACUACGUGCCAGCAGCCGCCGUAA